This 2979-nucleotide ribosomal RNA is filed under the name Leptospiraceae bacterium. Its description in RNAcentral is "23S ribosomal RNA". It matches the Rfam family "Bacterial large subunit ribosomal RNA". The record is from RNAcentral. Lineage: Bacteria; Pseudomonadati; Spirochaetota; Leptospiria; Leptospirales; Leptospiraceae.
AUAUGGUCAAGUAAGAAAGGGCAUACGGGGGAUGCCAUUGGCAUCAGGAGGCGAGGAAGGACGUGGUUUGCUGCGAUAAGCGACGGGGAGUUGUAAACAAGCCUUGAUCCGUCGAUUUCCGAAUGGGAGAACCCAUUAAGCUAUGAUUUAUCAUAGCGGCGAUACCUGGGGAAUUGAAACAUCUAAGUACCCGGAGGAAGAGAAAGAAACAUCGAUUUCGUAAGUAGCGGUGAGCGAAAGCGAAGGAGCCUAAACCUUUGUCUAUGUUAAAGGACUGGACCGUUGUAGCGAAGGUGUUGUAGGACUUACGUGCACAGGCUAGUGAGUGCGAUAGAGUUAAAAAGUUUGCGGAUAUCAGAAUGGUAUUGGGAAAGCCAACCAUAGAGGGUGAGAGUCCCGUAAGUUAAAUCCGUGAAUCUCUAGUGAGUAUCCUGAGUACCAUGAAACACGUGUAAUUUUGUGGGAAUCUGGGGGGACCACCCCCCAAGGCUAAAUACUACCUGAUGACCGAUAGAGGACAAGUACCGUGAGGGAAAGGUGAAAAGUACCGGGGGACCGGGGUGAAAUAGAAUCUGAAACCGUAUGCUUACAAGGUAUCAAAGCACUUUAUAUGUGUGAUGGUGUGCCUUUUGUAGAAUGAGCCGGCGAGUUACUUUAUGUUGCGAGCUUAAGACAGUGAGAUGUCGAAGGCGAAGCGAAAGCGAGUCUUAAUAGGGCGGAUAUAGUAGCAUGGAGUAGACCCGAAGCCAGAUGAGCUAUCUAUGAGCAGGUUGAAGGUGGGGUAAAACCCAUUGGAGGACCGAACCAUUUGACGUUGAAAAGUCUUUGGAUGACUUGUGGAUAGGGGUGAAAGGCCAAACAAAUCUGGCGAUAGCUGGUUCUCCUCGAAAUAGCUUUAGGGCUAGCGUCAUUUGUUUAGUUACAGGGGUAGAGCUACUGAUAGGGCUAGGGGGCCUACAAGCUUACCAAACCCUUUCAAACUCCGAAUACUGUAACUUGAAGAAUGGCAGUCAGACUACGGGGGAUAAGCUUCGUGGUCAAAAGGGAAACAGCCCAGACCGUCGUCUAAGGCCCCUAAAUUCACGCUAAGUGGCAAAGGAUGUGGGGAUACUUAAACAGCCAGGAGGUUGGCUUAGAAGCAGCCAUCCUUUAAAGAGUGCGUAAUAGCUCACUGGUCGAGUGUUCUUGCGCCGAAAAUGUAAUCGGGACUAAGCGUGAUGCCGAAGACACGGAUUGUAACUGACAGAUAUGUCUGUCGGUUGCAGUGGUAGAGGAGCGUUCUUUCAUCCAGUGAAGGCAGACUGAGAAGACUGCUGGAGGAGUAAGAAGUGAAGAUGCCGGCAUGAGUAGCGAAAAAAGGGGUGAGAUUCCCCUUCACCGAAAGCCUAAGGUUUCCCCGGGAAGGCAAGUCCGCCGGGGGUUAGUCGGACCCUAAGAUAAGGCUGAAGAGCGUAGUCGAUGGGAAGCAGGUUUAUAUUCCUGCACCGUGUUAAUUGUGCGAUGGAGUGACGCAGGAGGAUAGUUGGAGCGGAGCAAUGGUAAAUCCGUUUUUGGUUGUAGGCUUUGAGGGUCAUAGGUAAAUCCGUGACUUGAGCUGAGGACUGAAGGGAUUCCACUGUGAGGUGGAAGUAGCCGAUGAUUCCAUGCUGCCAAGAAAUAGCUUCUAAGUUUAGGUUGACACGACCGUACCGCAAACCGACACAGGUAGGCGAGAUGAGAAUUCUAAGGUGCUCGAGAUAACUCUCGUUAAGGAACUCGGCAAAAUAUUCCUGUAACUUCGGGAGAAAGGAACCCUGUUGUUGUGAAUCGAACAGAGUAAGCGACGGCGGGGUGCAAAUAAAUGGGGGUAGCGACUGUUUACCAAAAACAUAGGUCUCUGCAAAAUCGUAAGAUGAAGUAUAGGGACUGACACCUGCCCGGUGCCGGAAGGUUAAGAGGACUUGUUAGUCGCGAGGCGAAGCUCGGAAUCGAAGCCCCGGUAAACGGCGGCCGUAACUAUGACGGUCCUAAGGUAGCGAAAUUCCUUGUCGGGUAAGUUCCGACCUGCACGAAUGGUGUAACGACUUCCCUACUGUCUCAACGAGAGUCUCGGCGAAAUUGUAGUGCCCGUGAAGAUGCGGGCUACCUGCGAAAGGACGGAAAGACCCCGUGAACCUUUACUGUAACCUGGCAUUGAACUUUGGUUCCUUAUGUGUAGGAUAGGUGGGAGACUGUGAAAUGUGGACGCUAGUCUGUGUGGAGUCGUCGUUGAAAUACCACUCUUGAUGAACUCGAGUUCUAACGGUAAUAACAAGUUAUCGGACAUUGUCAGGCGGGCGGUUUGACUGGGGCGGUCGCCUCCAAAAGAGUAACGGAGGCGCCCAAAGGUUCCCUCAGCACGGUCGGAAAUCGUGCAUAGAGUGUAAAGGCAUAAGGGAGCUUAACUGCGAGACCAACAAGUCGAGCAGAUGCGUAAGCAGGGCUUAGUGAUCCGGUGGUUCUGUGUGGAAGGGCCAUCGCUCAACGGAUAAAAGGUACUCCGGGGAUAACAGGCUGAUCGCAUCCAAGAGUCCAUAUCGACGAUGCGGUUUGGCACCUCGAUGUCGGCUCGUCGCAUCCUGGGGCUGAAGCAGGUCCCAAGGGUAUGGCUGUUCGCCAUUUAAAGCGGUACGCGAGCUGGGUUCAGAACGUCGUGAGACAGUUCGGUCCCUAUCCUUCGCAGGCGUUGGAGAUUUGAUAGAACCUGUCCCUAGUACGAGAGGACCGGGAUGGACGAACCUCUAGUGUAUCAGUUGUCACGCCAGUGGCAUUGCUGAGUAGCUAUGUUCGGACGGGAUAACCGCUGAAAGCAUAUAAGUGGGAAGCCUCUCUAAAGAUAAGAUCUCCCUCCGCAAGGCUAAAGGCCCCGGGAAGAUUACCCGGUUGAUAGGCUACAGAUGUAAGCAUUGUAAGAUGUUCAGUCGAGUAGUACUAAUAGGCCGUGAGACUUGACCAUAUUAC